AGAUUGAACGCUGGCGGCAGGCCUAACACAUGCAAGUCGAGCGGUAGAGAGGUGCUUGCAUCUCUUGAGAGCGGCGGACGGGUGAGUAAUGCCUAGGAAUCUGCCUAGUGGUGGGGGAUAACGUUCGGAAACGGACGCUAAUACCGCAUACGUCCUACGGGAGAAAGCGGGGGACCUUCGGGCCUCGCGCCAUUAGAUGAGCCUAGGUCGGAUUAGCUAGUUGGUGAGGUAAUGGCUCACCAAGGCGACGAUCCGUAACUGGUCUGAGAGGAUGAUCAGUC
RNAcentral lists this ribosomal RNA (281 nucleotides) under uncultured soil bacterium. RNAcentral's name for it is "partial 16S ribosomal RNA". It matches the Rfam family "Bacterial small subunit ribosomal RNA", at positions 26 to 309 of the family's 1533-position model. The record is from RNAcentral.